This 927-nucleotide ribosomal RNA is filed under the name Erythricium salmonicolor (pink disease fungus). Its description in RNAcentral is "LSU rRNA". It matches the Rfam family "Eukaryotic large subunit ribosomal RNA", at positions 22 to 939 of the family's 3401-position model. The record is from RNAcentral. Lineage: Eukaryota; Fungi; Basidiomycota; Agaricomycetes; Corticiales; Corticiaceae.
UACCCGCUGAAACUAAGCAUAUCAAUAAGCGGAGGAAAAGAAACUAACAAGGAUUCCCCUAGUAACUGCGAGUGAAGCGGGAAAAGCUCAAAUUUAAAAUCUGGUGGUCUUUGGCCAUCCGAGUUGUAAUCUGGAGAAGCGUUUUCCGCGCUGGACCGUGUACAAGUCUCUUGGAACAGAGCAUCAUAGAGGGUGAGAAUCCCGUCUGUGACACGGACUACCAAUGCUUUGUGAUCGCUCUCAAAGAGUCGCGUUGUUUGGGAAUGCAGCGCAAAAUGGGUGGUAUAUUCCAUCUAAAGCUAAAUAUUGGCGAGAGACCGAUAGCGAACAAGUACCGUGAGGGAAAGAUGAAAAGCACUUUGGAAAGAGAGUUAAACAGUACGUGAAAUUGUUGAAAGGGAAACGCUUGAAGUCAGUCGCGUUGGCCAGAACUCAGCCUUGCUCUUUUGCUUGGUGUAUUUUUUGGUGAACGGGCCAGCAUCGAUUUUGACCGUUGGAUAAAGUUCAGGGGAAUGUGGCACCUCCGGGUGUGUUAUAGCCCCUGUUCGCAUGCACCGGUUGGGAUCGAGGUUCGCAGCACGCCUUUUUGGCCGGGGUUCGCCCACGUACGUGCUUAGGAUGCUGGCAUAUGGCUUUAAACCACCCGUCUUGAAACACGGACCAAGGAGUCUAACAUGCCCGCGAGUGUUUGGGUGUAAAACCCAUGCGCGUAAUGAAAGUAAAAGUUGAGAUCCCUGUCAUGGGGAGCAUCGACGCCCGGUCUUGAGCUCUGGCGACGGAUCUGAGGUUGAGCGUGUAUGUUGGGACCCGAAAGAUGGUGAACUAUGCCUGAAUAGGGUGAAGCCAGAGGAAACUCUGGUGGAGGCUCGUAGCGAUUCUGACGUGCAAAUCGAUCGUCAAAUUUGGGUAUGCGAAAGACUAAUCGAA